GUUUAGAGAUGAGAUCCUUCAGUUCGGCUGGCUGGAACACAGGUGCUGCAUGGCUGUCGUCAGCUCGUGUCGUGAGAUGUUGGGUUAAGUCCCGCAACGAGCGCAACCCUCGCCUUUAGUUGCCAUCAUUUAGUUGGGCACUCUAGAGGGACUGCCGGUGAUAAGCCGGAGGAAGGUGGGGAUGACGUCAAGUCCUCAUGGCCCUUACGGGUAGGGCUACACACGUGCUACAAUGGUGGUGACAGUGGGCAGCGACACAGUGAUGUGAUGCUAAUCUCAAAAAGCCAUCUCAGUCCAGAUUGUACUCUGCAACUCGAGUACAUGAAGUUGGAAUCGCUAGUAAUCGCGGAUCAGCACGCCGCGGUGAAUACGUUCCCGGGCCUUGUACACACCGCCCGUCACAUCACGAAAGCUGGCUGUACUAGAAGUAGCUGCGCCAACCCGCAAGGGAGGCAGGUUCCUAAGGUAUGGUCAGUGAUUGGGGUGAAGUCGUAACAAGGUAACCGU
RNAcentral lists this ribosomal RNA (507 nucleotides) under uncultured Alphaproteobacteria bacterium. RNAcentral's name for it is "bacterial SSU rRNA". It matches the Rfam family "Bacterial small subunit ribosomal RNA", at positions 998 to 1503 of the family's 1533-position model. The record is from RNAcentral. Lineage: Bacteria; Pseudomonadati; Pseudomonadota; Alphaproteobacteria.